UCUUCCAAGCCACUUUCAGAUAGAGAGC
This 28-nucleotide non-coding RNA is filed under the name Homo sapiens (human). Lineage: Eukaryota; Metazoa; Chordata; Mammalia; Primates; Hominidae. The record is from RNAcentral.